RNAcentral lists this ribosomal RNA (480 nucleotides) under uncultured bacterium. Its description in RNAcentral is "partial 16S ribosomal RNA". It matches the Rfam family "Bacterial small subunit ribosomal RNA", at positions 28 to 523 of the family's 1533-position model. The record is from RNAcentral.
GACGAACGCUGGCGGCGUGCUUAACACAUGCAAGUCGAGCGAUGAAGCACCUUUGGGUGUGGAUUAGCGGCGAACCGGUGAGGAACACGUGAGGAAUCUGCCUUUCACUUCGGGAUAACUCCGGGAAACCGGGGCUAAUACCGGACAUUUUCAACUGGCGGCAUCGCCGGUUGAAGAAAGUUGUUCGGUGAAAGAUGACCUCGUGGCCUAUCAGCUUGGUGGUGAGGUAAUGGCUCACCAAGGCGACGACGGGUAGCCGGCCUGAGAGGGCGACCGGCCACACUGGGACUGAGACACGGCCCAGACUCCUACGGGAGGCAGCAGUGGGGAAUAUUGGGCAAUGGAGGAAACUCUGACCCAGCGACGCCGCGUGAGGGAUGAAGGCCUUCGGGUUGUAAACCUCUUUCAGCAGGGAAUGAGCGAAAGUGAAGGUACCUGCAGAAGAAGCACCGGCUAAUUAUGUGCCAGCCGCCGCCGUAA